This 688-nucleotide ribosomal RNA is filed under the name Priestia aryabhattai. RNAcentral's name for it is "bacterial SSU rRNA". It matches the Rfam family "Bacterial small subunit ribosomal RNA", at positions 48 to 717 of the family's 1533-position model. The record is from RNAcentral. Lineage: Bacteria; Bacillati; Bacillota; Bacilli; Caryophanales; Bacillaceae.
GCUAUACAUGCAAGUCGAGCGAACUGAUUAGAAGCUUGCUUCUAUGACGUUAGCGGCGGACGGGUGAGUAACACGUGGGCAACCUGCCUGUAAGACUGGGAUAACUUCGGGAAACCGAAGCUAAUACCGGAUAGGAUCUUCUCCUUCAUGGGAGAUGAUUGAAAGAUGGUUUCGGCUAUCACUUACAGAUGGGCCCGCGGUGCAUUAGCUAGUUGGUGAGGUAACGGCUCACCAAGGCAACGAUGCAUAGCCGACCUGAGAGGGUGAUCGGCCACACUGGGACUGAGACACGGCCCAGACUCCUACGGGAGGCAGCAGUAGGGAAUCUUCCGCAAUGGACGAAAGUCUGACGGAGCAACGCCGCGUGAGUGAUGAAGGCUUUCGGGUCGUAAAACUCUGUUGUUAGGGAAGAACAAGUACGAGAGUAACUGCUCGUACCUUGACGGUACCUAACCAGAAAGCCACGGCUAACUACGUGCCAGCAGCCGCGGUAAUACGUAGGUGGCAAGCGUUAUCCGGAAUUAUUGGGCGUAAAGCGCGCGCAGGCGGUUUCUUAAGUCUGAUGUGAAAGCCCACGGCUCAACCGUGGAGGGUCAUUGGAAACUGGGGAACUUGAGUGCAGAAGAGAAAAGCGGAAUUCCACGUGUAGCGGUGAAAUGCGUAGAGAUGUGGAGGAACACCAGUGGCG